GAAUAUUGGACAAUGGGGGCCACCCUGAUCCAGCCAUGCCGCGUGUGUGAAGAAGGCCUUUUGGUUGUAAAGCACUUUAAGCAGUGAAGAAGACUCCAUGGUUAAUCCCCAUGGACGAUGACAUUCGCUGCAGACUAAUCACCGGCUAACUCUGUGCCAGCCGCCGCGGUAAUACAGAGGGUGCAAGCGUUACUCGGAAUUACUGGGCGUCAAGCGGGCGUAGGGGGCUUGAUAAGUCAGAUGUGAAAUCCCCGGGCUUAACCUGGGAACUGCAUCUGAUACUGUUAGGCUAGAAUAGGUGAGAGGAAGGUAGAAUUCCAGGUGUAGCGGUGAAAUGCGUAGAGAUCUGGAGGAAUACCGAUGGCGAAGGCAGCCUUCUGGCAUCAUAUUGACACUGAGGUUCGAAAGCGUGGGUAGCAAAC
This 422-nucleotide ribosomal RNA is filed under the name uncultured bacterium. Its description in RNAcentral is "partial 16S ribosomal RNA". It matches the Rfam family "Bacterial small subunit ribosomal RNA", at positions 359 to 773 of the family's 1533-position model. The record is from RNAcentral.